This 253-nucleotide ribosomal RNA is filed under the name uncultured bacterium. Its description in RNAcentral is "partial 16S ribosomal RNA". It matches the Rfam family "Bacterial small subunit ribosomal RNA", at positions 524 to 776 of the family's 1533-position model. The record is from RNAcentral.
UACGUAGGUGACCAGCGUUGUCCGGAUUUACUGGGCGUAAAGAGCGCGCAGGCGGUCGUUCAAGUCGAGUGUGAAAGCCCCCGGCUCAACUGGGGAGGGUCAUUCGAUACUGAUCGACUUGAAGGCAGGAGAGGGAAGUGGAAUUCCCGGUGUAGUGGUGAAAUGCGUAGAUAUCGGGAGGAACACCAGUGGCGAAGGCGACUACCUGGCCUGUUCUUGACGCUGAGGCGCGAAAGCUAGGGGAGCAAACGGG